RNAcentral lists this transfer RNA (71 nucleotides) under Uraeotyphlus cf. oxyurus MW-212. Its description in RNAcentral is "tRNA-Ile". It matches the Rfam family "tRNA". Rfam says of the family: Transfer RNA (tRNA) molecules are approximately 80 nucleotides in length. Their secondary structure includes four short double-helical elements and three loops (D, anti-codon, and T loops). Further hydrogen bonds mediate the characteristic L-shaped molecular structure. tRNAs have two regions of fundamental functional importance: the anti-codon, which is responsible for specific mRNA codon recognition, and the 3' end, to which the tRNAs corresponding amino acid is attached (by aminoacyl-tRNA synthetases). tRNAs cope with the degeneracy of the genetic code in two manners: having more than one tRNA (with a specific anti-codon) for a particular amino acid; and 'wobble' base-pairing, i.e. permitting non-standard base-pairing at the 3rd anti-codon position. Lineage: Eukaryota; Metazoa; Chordata; Amphibia; Gymnophiona; Ichthyophiidae. The record is from RNAcentral.
GGUUAUGUGCCCGAAAGAUAAGGAUUACUUUGAUAGAGUAAAUAAUAGGAGUUCAAACCUCCUCAUACCCU